AUACGUAGGGGGCGAGCGUUGUCCGGAAUGACUGGGCGUAAAGGGCGCGUAGGCGGCCCGGUAAGUCUGGAGUGAAAGUCCUGUUUUUAAGAUGGGAAUUGCUUUGGAUACUGUCGGGCUUGAGUGCAGGAGAGGUAAGUGGAAUUCCCAGGGUAGCGGUGAAAUGCGUAGAGAUUGGGAGGAACACCAGUGGCGAAGGCGACUUACUGGACUGUAACUGACGCUGAGGCGCGAAAGUGUGGGGAGCAAACAGGAUUAGAUGCCCUGGUAGUCCACACUGUAAACGAUGAAUGCUAGGUGUAGGGGGUAUCGACCCCUUCUGUGCCGCAGUCAACACAAUAAGCAUUCCGCCUGGGGAGUACGGCCGCAAGGUUGAAACUCAAAGGAAUUGACGGGG
RNAcentral lists this ribosomal RNA (397 nucleotides) under uncultured bacterium. RNAcentral describes it as "partial 16S ribosomal RNA". It matches the Rfam family "Bacterial small subunit ribosomal RNA", at positions 523 to 918 of the family's 1533-position model. The record is from RNAcentral.